Molecule: non-coding RNA, 30 nt
Filed under: Mus musculus (house mouse)
Lineage: Eukaryota; Metazoa; Chordata; Mammalia; Rodentia; Muridae
Source: RNAcentral
UGACCAUCUUGCAACCCUACCUUUGUUCUG